ACUAAUUCGUAUGCACGAAGUAUUGCUGAUUUAACUGAAUCAUACUUUAAACUCUCUUCAAGUGAUAAAGUAGAAUAAACUUCCAUAGCCUUGCCUACAAGUUUACAUUGCAGUAACAAAGACCAGAACUCAGGUGGCCAGUGCAAUGAAGUCGCAAUGCGUUCAAACGCAUUAAAAUAAGAAUCAGCUUCAGAUUCUCUGAAUUGUGGAACAAGCGCAAUGUGCUUACUCACGUCAAAACUUGAAGUGGAUGAAGUCGACACCGGAGAUACAUAUGAAGAAGAGGAAGAAGCUGGAACUGGCUGAAUAGCCUCCACAGCCUUCUUUGAAGCGUCCAACUCGAGCUGGCGCAGUCUCACCUGCGUAUCAGCCUCGAUUUCGAGUCUGCGUAUCUGCAAACGCAAGUCAAUUUCAGCCCGAUGGGUGUGCUCUUGCGCAUCAUAAUAAAGACGUGCCAUGCGAACUUUCAGUCGCGCAUCAUCUCGUGAACCUAUGGAGAAUGGGGAGAACGGUUCAAACGGUGGCAAACCAACAUUAGUAUCAACAGCGGCCUCCACCCCUGCUUCUGCAUCUGUACUGCCACUACACACGUUCUGAUCUCCCAUAUCUAAAGAAGUCACCACCUCAUCACCAGGGCUUGCAUGAUCAGCCGUCUCAUCCAUUUCAAUAUUUGGCGUGAUAAGAACAUUAAGCUCAACCAACUGCUCUGUUAACUUUUGCUUAAUUUCAGCUUUACGAUCCUGUCUGUUAACUACCAGUUUAAAAUGAUCAGUAAUCAAAAACAAGUCUUGUUUCCGACAAACGUCAAGCAGCUCCAAUGAAAGACUCUUAACAAAUUCCUCUAAACUGAACAUUUUAAAUUAAAGUGUCGCGUGCUCAAAAAGUGCUGCCAACUGCUACUUCUGCAACUUACCUAAAUGUCAACUACUAUACAGCAAUUUCUGUUGCCAUCAACACAGCUUUUCUUUGGUCAUUUUUCUCAAAGAUUACCAUCUGAUAAAUUUAAGAAAUAUUAAUUUCAAAAAUUACUUUUUAAAAUUAUUUUCUUGAUGAAUUCAAUUUAUUCCAGAUGAUUUAUUUUAUCUUACCUUAAUUGAUCUUAUUUAAUGUCUCAGAUAAAUAUCCGGGACGAGGCCCCAUUUCAUGUUACGAUCCUUGAUGGCAAUUUGUCUAGGGUAUUAAAAGGAGUAACAUAAAGAUGACCAAAGUAUAAACUGAUGUUGAAGAAUGGCAAAAGAAAACACCAAA
Danio rerio (zebrafish) is the source of this 1248-nucleotide non-coding RNA. The record is from RefSeq and is a predicted model, not a curated record. Lineage: Eukaryota; Metazoa; Chordata; Actinopteri; Cypriniformes; Danionidae.